RNAcentral lists this long non-coding RNA (5611 nucleotides) under Panax ginseng (ginseng). RNAcentral describes it as "long non-coding RNA (PGIN_LNC006143)". Lineage: Eukaryota; Viridiplantae; Streptophyta; Magnoliopsida; Apiales; Araliaceae. The record is from RNAcentral.
CACGAUGAUACUUUAUCAAUUUCAGCUUGGACCAUUCCACUUAGCAAGGUGUUCAUGGCUCUUGAGUUGUAGGAAAACAUAUAGCUUUCGUUUGCAUCCAUCUCCAUGAGAGCAUUUGGUUUGCCAUCAUCAUGUCUAGGAAUGAUAGGUCCAUUUUCAACAACCCACCAUUCCCAUUGGUCUCUUUUAAGAAAAAUCUUAAUUCUGAACUUCCAAAAGUUAAAGUUCACUUCCGAACAGCAGUGGCCUACUUGUGGACUGGCCUUCUUGAAAGUUUAGGUGUGCCAUAGGAUCUUUCCCAACGACCUGCAAUGAUCAAUAUUAGUAGAGCCUUGCUUUGAUACCAAAUGUAAUUCUACGUAUGUGCACACCUAGAGGGGGGGUGAAUAGAUGUUUAUACUUAAAGUGAUAAACAGUGAAAUCUUUUUGAAAUUUUCCACUACAGGUAUAAUUUAGACAGCUACACCUGUCUGCUUUAACUUAAGUUCUUCGUUUAAUAUUAUCAGACAACUAGACAUGUCUGUUUUAGUGUCUGGAUUCUUGUAACUACAAACUAAUAAAGCAGAAUACCUAGAAAUUAUACAAACAGAGAGGUAAAGCGCAGAAACGUAAAGGCAUCGAGAUUUUUACGUGGUUCGGCCCCUAUCCUCUAUCUAGUAGCCUAAUCCACGUCCAAUCUCAACUAGGAUUGGAGACUCUUUUUAUUAAACUUAAUAUUCAAUUAAAUACAAUAAAAAGAACUCCCUGUUACAAAGAAGCUUUCAACUGAUGGACACCUCUGCACCCUAUGCACCUCUGCAACCUUUCUCACCACUGAGACCUUUGCACCUCUGCAACCUUGAAAGCUCUCUUUGAACAGAUCCUAUCUACUGCUAGAUAGACCAAGCCAAACAAGACUUGAAUUUUGAAUAUAAUAAAAGAAAUUACAAUAGACUUCUUAUUUUCCAGCCACAAAGAAUUAUAGACAGUACAAUGAAUAGAUGAAAAUAAACAAUGAAAGCUCUCAAUAAGAUUCUUCUCUGUAUAGCAACGUGAAUUAACUUCUUGUAUCCUCCUGUACUUAGCCGUGAAAAUAACACUAUAUAUAAAAAGAGACCCAACGGCUAUAAAAUAAUUGUUAGCAAUAAAUUAGAUGAUUUAAAUCUCAUAGCAAGAAAUCAGAUGAUAUAAAUCCCAUAAUAUUAGCUAUUAAUAUUGACCAACAGUUAUGAACAUAAGAUAGAAUAGGAAACUCAUAUCAAAGUUGGUAUACCCCAUGAUAUUAGCAAUUAAAGAGUCCAACAGAUUUGGUAAAUCAAGGAUAUGUUUUCAAGUCAAACCAAAACACCUUAAAUACAGGAACAAGGAGAUAUUUGAUAAAGUUUGUUACUAGCCAGUCACUAGAUAACAGGUGCCUUAUUUAGUUUCCUUUUCAAAUUGAAUUGCAUAUCAUUACUAAAUUAUAUUAAAGAUCUUUUCAACAACAUGCAACAUGCAAACUUAUAUAUAGAAGGAAUAUUUUAAUGGACCAUAAUUCCAAUCUUGGGCCACAAAAAAUCAACAUAUAAUAAAUUUAAAUCACCCCAAACAAUUUAAAUCAAAUUCAUAAACCCAAUAAUAUUGUCAUCAUUAAAAUCAUAUAAUAUAUAACCAACAUUAUCUCCCUUUUUGAUGAUGACAAUACAUAAUGCCAUUUAAUUAAUAUGUUCCCCCUAAGUAUAUGGCUCCACCUUAAUUUAUGCAUAUUAAGGAAACAAAUUCUAAAUUACCAUCAUUUGCAUAUUCAAGCACAAUAUAGUAUCUCAGUACCAUAUAUAUAUCUCCCCCUUUGUCAUCAACAAAAAGAAACCACAUUAAUCAUUAAGCACAAGUAUCUCUCCCCCUUUGUCAACAUUAAAAUAAUAAGUGCGAAGAUAAAAAAUAUCAUUGGAGCAAGUUUAUAACAAAACCACAUAUAGAAAGUAAACAAUAUAAUCAUACCUUUCCAUUGUGUUACCUAUAUAUCAACAUUUUGUUACCAGUAGAUAGCUUGAUAGUUGUGCUCUUUAAUGUAGAUUUGGAUUUUGUAUUUUCAGAAUCAAAAAACUCUUCAAUAGCACUUCUUUUGAUCAUCCCAAUGUUGAGAUCUUUAAAGCUCAGGUUAAAGGAUAAUUUUUCACUAUUAUGGUUGUUCUUGGAAGACUGCCAUUGGUCAUUUGUUCAUCUGAUUAACUUUCUGGAAUAUCAAAUUUUGCAUCAGAAUAUUCUUCUGAUUUGCCUUCAAAAAUAGACGGGCCGAGCUGUCUGGAUUUAGGUGUCUGCAUGUUUUCCUGGUUCAUCUAUUUUUUCUUCUGAUGCAAACGGCUUAGGCUGUCUGGAUUGAGCUGUUUUCAUUUCCACGUUCCACAUUACUUUUUCUUGCAAAAACCUCAUUCUCUUCUUUAAACAGAUCAGGGUCAAAAUUAUCAAAUAAAAUAUGAACAUAUUGCUCAACCUUUUAUCAAGAUUAUCAUGUAUAUUAAAUAUGGAGCAUUUGACAUAAUAAAUGAUGUUAUGAACCCUUAUAAUACGAAAGCCAGAGUUUUUAUAAUAAUAUAUCUAAUUAAAACUCUAUUUAAAAAACAACAUGAGGUACUUACAAAUUCCGCCAAAUAAUUUAUAGGUAACUUACUCUCUCAAAGUAAAGAAUCAUCCAUCUCCUUUUUGAUCUUGAGACACCUACAAACAAAUAGUCUCUAUCUUUUUGGUACCUAAAUCUUCUUGGGUCCUUUUGGGUUAGUAGCAUAUAAAUCACGUUUCUUUACCCAAAUUUGUUUUAUUCUAAUUUUAUUACAAUUAGAAUCAAAAUGUCCUUUAAAACCACAUUUUUUACAAGCAACAAAUGGUGAACAAUAAAGUAGUUUAUGCCUUGAUUUACUAUUAAUCAUUCUAAUAUUAUUAUUAGUCCUAUUUUCCACAUUUUGAAUAGGAUUAUACCCAAUCCCUUAUUUAUCAAGGCUGGACCUUUGUGCCCCUAACAUAACAUUUAGGUUCUCUUCUCCUUGCACAAAUUUAGCAAGAUCAUUUUUUAAAGAUGUUAUUUCUGCAUUUAUUACAUUAUCAUCAUGUUGAACAUUCAUCAUUUUUCCAUCAUUAAAAGCAUCUAUACAUACAUCUCUCAUUUUCAAAUUUUCUUUUUACACUUCAUUUUCAUUUUUAAGAUAUUCAUUUUCUUCUCUCUCUUUAAUAAGCGACUUAACUUCAUUCAUUAGAUCGUUUACACAAUUCUUAAAAUAGGCAAUUUUCUUUUUGAGCUGUUGAUUUUCAUUUUGUAAAGCAAUAUAAUCAGGCAUAGAUAUUUCAAAAGCUUCAUGAAAAUUUGUUACCUCAAGUUGAUUAUCAUCUUCUACUCCCAUGAAACAGAGUUGGACAGUUUCUUCUUGUUCCGCUUUGGACUUACUCACUGGAGUUGAGCUACCUUUUUGAUUUUUCCUUUAUUUCUUUCUUUUAAGUAGUCUCUCGGGUUUUCUUGACAGCAUUUCAAUUUCCUCAUCAAAAUCUUCGUGAUCACUUUCAUUGUUGCUCUCGAUUUGAAGUGCCAAUGUUUUCUUUAUUGAUGCUUCAUCCUCUUCAUCAUAUCUCCUGAGUUGAUUUUCAAAUUCUUCAAGCUCUCCAAACAAGGUAAGAGUUUCUAUGGUACUCAUUGUUGGUGAGUCUUGGAGAGUUGGGACUUUCGGAGCAAACUAUUUUGGCAUUACUCUUAGCAGCUUUCUAUUAAUUUCCCUCUGAUCAAUUUUUUGUCCCAGCAUACUUAGAGAGUUCAUUAAAGUAAGAAAUCUCCCUUGAGCUUCAAUAAUUGUUUCAUCUUUUUCUAAUUUGAAGAGUUCAUAUUCUUGCAUCAACAUACUUAGCUUGACUUCCUUCACCUAGUAGUUCCCUCGUGGCUCAUGAAGAUUGUAUCCCACAUUUCUUUUGUUGUAUUGCACGAUGAUACUUUAUCAAUUUCAGCUUGGACCAUUCCACUUAGCAAGGUGUUCAUGGCUCUUGAGUUGUAGGAAAACAUAUAGCUUUCGUUUGCAUCCAUCUCCAUGAGAGCAUUUGGUUUGCCAUCAUCAUGUCUAGGAAUGAUAGGUCCAUUUUCAACAACCCACCAUUCCCAUUGGUCUCUUUUAAGAAAAAUCUUAAUUCUGAACUUCCAAAAGUUAAAGUUCACUUCCGAACAGCAGUGGCCUACUUGUGGACUGGCCUUCUUGAAAGUUUAGGUGUGCCAUAGGAUCUUUCCCAACGACCUGCAAUGAUCAAUAUUAGUAGAGCCUUGCUUUGAUACCAAAUGUAAUUCUACGUAUGUGCACACCUAGAGGGGGGGUGAAUAGAUGUUUUUGCUUAAAGUGAUAAACAGUGAAAUCUUUUUGAAAUUUUCUGCUACAGGUUUAAUUCAGACAGCUACACCUGUCUACUUUAGUGUCUACUUUAACUUAUGUUCUUCGUUUAAUAUUAUCAGACAGCUAGACGUGUCUAUUUUAGUGUCUGGAUUCGUGUAACUACAAACUAAUAAAGCAAAAUACCCAUAAAUUAUACAAACAGAAAGGUAAAGUACAAAAACGUAAAGGCACCGAGAUUUUUACGUGGUUCGGCCCCUAUCCUCUAUCUAGUGGCCUAAUCCACGUCCAAUCCCAACUAGGAUUGGAGACUUUUUUUAUUAAACUUAAUAUUCAAUUAAAUACAAUAAAAAAAACUCCCUGUUACAAAGAAUCUUUCCACUGAUGGACACCUCUGCCCCCUAUGCACCUCUGCAACCUUUCUCACCACUGAGACCUUUGCACCUCUGCAACCUUGAAAGCUCUCUUUGAACAGAUCCUAUCUACUGCUAGAUAGACCAAGCCAAACAAGACUUGAACUUUGAAUAUAAUAAAAGAAAUUACAAUAGACUUCUUAUUUUCCAGCCACAAAGAAUUAUAGACAGUACAAUGAAUAGCUGGAAAUAAACAAUGAAAGCUCUCAAUAGGAUUCUUCUAUGUAUAGCAACGUGAAUUAGCUUCUUGUAUCCUCCUGUACUUAGCCGUGAAAAUAACACUAUAUAUAAAGAGAGAACCAACGGCUAUAAAAUAAUUGUUAGCAAUAAAUUAGAUGAUUUAAAUCCCAUAGCAAGAAAUCAGAUGAUUUAAACCCAUAAUAUUAGCUACUAAUAUUGACCAACAGUUAUGAACAUAAGAUAGAAUAGGAAACUCAUAUCAAAGUUUGUAUACCCCAUGAUAUUAGCAAUUAAAGAGUCCAACAGAUUUGGUAAAUUAAGGAUAUGUUUUCAAGUCAAAUCAAAACACCUUAAAUAAAGGAACAAGGAGAUAUUUGAUAAAGUUUGUUACUAGCCAAUCACUAGAUAGCAGGUACCUUAUUUAGUUUCCUUUUCAAAUUGAAUUGCAUAUCAUUACUAAAUUAUAUUAAAGAUCUUUUCAACAACAUGCAACAUGCAACAUGCAAACUUAAAUAUAAAAGGAAUAUACUAAUGGACCAUAAUUCCAAUCUUGGGCCACAAAAAAUCAACAUAUAAUAAAUUUAAAUCAGCCCAAACAAUUUAAAUCAAAUUCAUAAACCCAACAAUAUUGUUAUCAUUAAAAUCAUAAAAUAUAUAACCAACAAUAUAAACAUAUAUGAUCAAUUAUAAACAAUUAAUAAG